AUUGAACGCUGGCGGCAGGCCUAACACAUGCCAGUCGAGCGGAUGAAGGGAGCUUGCUCCUGGAUUCAGCGGCGGACGGGUGAGUAAUGCCUAGGAAUCUGCCUGGUAGUGGGGGAUAACGUCCGGAAACGGGCGCUAAUACCGCAUACGUCCUGAGGGAGAAAGUGGGGGAUCUUCGGACCUCACGCUAUCAGAUGAGCCUAGGCCGGAUUAGCUAGUUGGUGGGGUAAAGGCCUACCAAGGCGACGAUCCGUAACUGGUCUGAGAGGAUGAUCAGUCACACUGGAACUGAGACACGGUCCAGACUCCUACGGGAGGCAGCAGUGGGGAAUAUUGGACAAUGGGCGAAAGCCUGAUCCAGCCAUGCCGCGUGUGUGAAGAAGGUCUUCGGAUUGUAAAGCACUUUAAGUUGGGGGGAAGGGCAGUAAGUUAAUACCUUGCUGUUUUGACGUUACCAACAGAAUAAGCACCGGCUAACUUCGUG
RNAcentral lists this ribosomal RNA (484 nucleotides) under uncultured bacterium. RNAcentral's name for it is "partial 16S ribosomal RNA". It matches the Rfam family "Bacterial small subunit ribosomal RNA", at positions 30 to 507 of the family's 1533-position model. The record is from RNAcentral.